Molecule: long non-coding RNA, 452 nt
Filed under: Anser brachyrhynchus (Pink-footed goose)
Lineage: Eukaryota; Metazoa; Chordata; Aves; Anseriformes; Anatidae
Description: lncRNA (ENSABRG00000021748.1)
Source: RNAcentral
ACUGUUUUAAAAGAGACCAGUAUUUUAUUUCACAUAGCAUUUACUCUUCUGUUUGUGUUUUAUUACAAAGAACUUUUCAGAUUAUGGCUGUGCAGCAUCACCAGUUUUUUUCUAUUCCUCUGCAGUGAAGGAGAGAAAACUAAGACACAUUAAAUAUGUUAAGCAAUAAAGAGAAGAAAGGAAGAUUGAUCAAAGGUUAGAAACCUGACCUGAAGGCUCGGUUCCAGUGCUAGGUCAUGACAGGAGCGCGAGGAGAGCGUCUCACUGCUGGAGGCAGAGCCCAGCUGAUGCUUGUGUUGAGAGAAAACCCAACUGAAGCUGACACACUUCACGGCUUUAGCAUCAGGGCAAAGCUGUCACAGCCAGUCGAGAACAGUUCAUAGAGUCUGGGACAUUUGCAGAUCUACUAAGUCAGAUGUUUGGGGAGAAUAAACACGUGAUAUGAGAUUGCA